AUAAUAUAGUAUAUGGAUAGGAGAAGGUGGGGAUAAUAUAGUUUAUGGAUAGGAGAAGGUGGGGAUAAUACAGUAUAUGGAUAGGAGAAGGUCGGGAUAAUAUAGUUUAUGGAUAGGAGAAGAUUGGAAUAAUACAGUAUAUGGAUAUGUGAAGGUGGGGGUUUACAGUAUAUGGAUAGGAGAGGGUGGAUAUAAUACAGUAUAUGGAUAGGACUAGGUAGGGAUAAUAUAGUUUAUGGAUAGGAGAAGAUUGGAAAAAUACAGUAUAUGGAUAGGAGAAGGUGGGGGUUUACAGUAUAUGGAUAGGAGAGGUGGAUAUAAUACAGUAUAUGGAAAGGAGAAGGUAGGGAUAAUAAAAUAUAAAGAUUGUAGAUAGGAGAAGGUGGGGAUAAUAUAGUAUAUGAAUAGGAAUAGGAUGGGAUAAUAUAGUAUAUGGAAAGAAGAUGGAACGGCUUGAGAGUAGUAAACGUAAAUUAGGUUGGAAAUAGUUUGUGGUUAGGAUAAAGGGAGGUUCUUUCAAGACGGAGAAAAUUCCGGAGAUUUAGAUUUAUAGUUUGGUCCGGGUGUGUAUAGAUAGGAAAUAGAAGGAUUCUCCAUAGUUCUAAAUAUAAGAUAACCAUUUGAGAAAUUGAAAGCGGGAGGAGGAGGAGGAGAAGAAGGAGAAGGGGCGGAUAGAUGCUAGAGGAGGAACCAGCCUCCAAACCAUACACUGGAGGCCAACAUCACAGCCUUUCCAAUCCCACUCAUCCUUCUCUAUCCGGGAGAAGAGGUCACAGUUGUAUCCGUGCUCCCGUCCACGACGGUUCUCAACCAUGCGGUUUGUUCUUCUCCGGGUACAGUUCUCUUCUUACUCCGUAGAAUCAUCCGACUGGGACGUAAAGGAUCCUUUCCGACUGCUGGUUUUGGAUUCAUCCUCAUACGACUAUUGGCAUUCGGCAGCCUUCAUGGAUGGAAACUAUGAAUAGCAUUAAUUUGAUCCCUAGCUGUAAAUAAAUUUUCAUUAAUCAUUUCAUUAUCGAAUAUAUUGUAGCAUUGUAUA
Eurytemora carolleeae is the source of this 1039-nucleotide long non-coding RNA. RefSeq lists it as uncharacterized. The transcript is spliced from 2 exons. The record is from RefSeq and is a predicted model, not a curated record. NCBI's taxonomy places the organism in Eukaryota, Metazoa, Arthropoda, Copepoda, Calanoida, Temoridae.